AGAGUUUGAUCCUGGCUCAGGAUGAACGCUGGCGGCGUGCUUAACACAUGCAAGUCGAACGAAGCACCUUAUUCUGAUUUCUUCGGAAUGAAAAAUUUGGUGACUGAGUGGCGGACGGGUGAGUAACGCGUGGGUAACCUGCCUCAUACAGGGGGAUAACAGUUAGAAAUGACUGCUAAUACCGCAUAAGACCACAGCACCGCAUGGUGCAGGGGCAAAAACUCCGGUGGUAUGAGAUGGACCCGCGUCUGAUUAGGUAGUUGGUGGGGUAACGGCCUACCAAGCCGACGAUCAGUAGCCGACCUGAGAGGGUGACCGGCCACAUUGGGACUGAGACACGGCCCAAACUCCUACGGGAGGCAGCAGUAGGGAAUUUUCGUCAAUGGGGGGAACCCUGAACGAGCAAUGCCGCGUGAGUGAAGAAGGUCUUCGGAUCGUAAAGCUCUGUUGUAAGAGAAAAACGACAUUCAUAGGGAAUGAUGAGUGAGUGAUGGUAUCUUACCAGAAAGUCACGGCUAACUACGUGCCAGCAGCCGCGGUAAUACGUAGGUGGCGAGCGUUAUCCGGAAUCAUUGGGCGUAAAGAGGGAGCAGGCGGCCGCAAGGGUCUGUGGUGAAAGACCGAAGCUAAACUUCGGUAAGCCAUGGAAACCGGGCGGCUAGAGUGCGGAAGAGGAUCGUGGAAUUCCAUGUGUAGCGGUGAAAUGCGUAGAUAUAUGGAGGAACACCAGUGGCGAAGGCGACGGUCUGGGCCGCAACUGACGCUCAUUCCCGAAAGCGUGGGGAGCAAAUAGGAUUAGAUACCCUAGUAGUCCACGCCGUAAACGAUGGUCACUAAGUGUCGGGGGUCAAACCCCGGUGCUGCAGUCAACGCAAUAAGUGACCCGCCUGAGUAGUACGUUCGCAAGAAUGAAACUCAAAGGAAUUGACGGGGGCCCGCACAAGCGGUGGAGCAUGUGGUUUAAUUCGAAGCAACGCGAAGAACCUUACCAGGUCUUGACAUACCAGUGACCGUCCUAGAGAUAGGAUUUUCCCUUCGGGGACAAUGGAUACAGGUGGUGCAUGGUUGUCGUCAGCUCGUGUCGUGAGAUGUUGGGUUAAGUCCCGCAACGAGCGCAACCCCUGUCGUUAGUUGCCAGCAUUCAGUUGGGGACUCUAACGAGACUGCCAGUGACAAACUGGAGGAAGGUGGGGAUGACGUCAAAUCAUCAUGCCCCUUAUGACCUGGGCUACACACGUGCUACAAUGGUUGGUACAAAGAGAAGCGAAGCGGUGACGUGGAGCAAACCUCAUAAAGCCAAUCUCAGUUCGGAUUGUAGGCUGCAACUCGCCUACAUGAAGUUGGAAUCGCUAGUAAUCGCGAAUCAGCAUGUCGCGGUGAAUACGUUCCCGGGUCUUGCACUCACCGCCCGUCA
This 1414-nucleotide ribosomal RNA is filed under the name uncultured bacterium. RNAcentral's name for it is "bacterial SSU rRNA". It matches the Rfam family "Bacterial small subunit ribosomal RNA". The record is from RNAcentral.